GUUUGAUCCUGGCUCAGAUUGAACGCUGGCGGCAGGCCUAACACAUGCAAGUCGAGCGGUAGAGAGAAGCUUGCUUCUCUUGAGAGCGGCGGACGGGUGAGUAAUGCCUAGGAAUCUGCCUGGUAGUGGGGGAUAACGUUCGGAAACGGACGCUAAUACCGCAUACGUCCUACGGGAGAAAGCAGGGGACCUUCGGGCCUUGCGCUAUCAGAUGAGCCUAGGUCGGAUUAGCUAGUUGGUGAGGUAAUGGCUCACCAAGGCUACGAUCCGUAACUGGUCUGAGAGGAUGAUCAGUCACACUGGAACUGAGACACGGUCCAGACUCCUACGGGAGGCAGCAGUGGGGAAUAUUGGACAAUGGGCGAAAGCCUGAUCCGGCCAUGCCGCGUGUGUGAAGAAGGUCUUCGGAUUGUAAAGCACUUUAAGUUGGGAGGAAGGGCAGUUACCUAAUACGUGAUUGUUUUGACGUUACCGACAGAAUAAGCACCGGCUAACUCUGUGCCAGCAGCCGCGGUAAUACAGAGGGUGCAAGCGUUAAUCGGAAUUACUGGGCGUAAAGCGCGCGUAGGUGGUUUGUUAAGUUGGAUGUGAAAUCCCCGGGCUCAACCUGGGAACUGCAUUCAAAACUGACUGACUAGAGUAUGGUAGAGGGUGGUGGAAUUUCCUGUGUAGCGGUGAAAUGCGUAGAUAUAGGAAGGAACACCAGUGGCGAAGGCGACCACCUGGACUAAUACUGACACUGAGGUGCGAAAGCGUGGGAGCAAACAGGAUUAGAUACCCUGGUAGUCCA
RNAcentral lists this ribosomal RNA (790 nucleotides) under uncultured bacterium. RNAcentral's name for it is "bacterial SSU rRNA". It matches the Rfam family "Bacterial small subunit ribosomal RNA", at positions 11 to 797 of the family's 1533-position model. The record is from RNAcentral.